This 492-nucleotide ribosomal RNA is filed under the name uncultured bacterium. RNAcentral's name for it is "partial 16S ribosomal RNA". It matches the Rfam family "Bacterial small subunit ribosomal RNA", at positions 29 to 507 of the family's 1533-position model. The record is from RNAcentral.
AGUGAACGCUGGCGGUAGGCCUAACACAUGCAAGUCGAACGGCAGCACAGUAAGAGCUUGCUCUUACGGGUGGCGAGUGGCGGACGGGUGAGGAAUACAUCGGAAUCUACUUUUUCGUGGGGGAUAACGUAGGGAAACUUACGCUAAUACCGCAUACGACCUACGGGUGAAAGCAGGGGAUCUUCGGACCUUGCGCGAUUGAAUGAGCCGAUGUCGGAUUAGCUAGUUGGCGGGGUAAAGGCCCACCAAGGCGCCGAUCGGUAGCUGGUCUGAGAGGAUGAUCGGCGGCACUGGAAGGUGGCCACGGUCCAGACUCCUGCGGGACGCAGCAGUGGGGAACAUUAGACAAUGGGCGCAAACCUGGUCCAAUCGUCCCGCGUCGGUGACGGAGGCCUUCGGGUUGUAAAGCCCUUUUGUUGGGAAAGAAAAGCAGCAGGUUAAUACCCCGCUGUUCUGACGGUACCCAAAGAAUAAGCACCGGCUAACUUCGUG